CGUCGCGAUGCCUGUGCGCAGGAUGCAACGGAGGCACUUGUCCCGAACGAAGGACACGAGACAGUUACUAAUGUACACUAAAAAUCUUUGUCAGAUUUGAGAUCGUAUUAACUACCAGCAAAAUACGCUCAUAUGUGGAAAAAAUAGCAGAUGGAGUUGAUAAAACGCCUGAACAAUGAAUACAGACCUCAUCGUCAAAGAUCGCGAGAAAAAGGCUUGAACAAUCGGGUCCCACCUAGCGAGGACCCGUAAGAUGAUUCAUUAUUAUUAUCAGUACUAACGUUACUACUAUUAUUUUUGUGUUUAUUGUCAGUGUCAUAUUACUGUACAAGGACAGUGGAUAAUAUUGGUAGUUAAUAAGAAAAUCAGCUCAAAUCAUUAAUCGCCCCUCCCCUCCACACCCAAAUACAUGCGUGUGCAGGACGGGUUUAAGCACACCUCUAGUUCUGUCAUACUUGUGCACAAAUCACACGAAGAUUUUUAGUGUGAAUUACUACCUGUCUUGUGUCCUUCGUGACAAGUGCCUCCGUUCCGACUUGCGCACAGGCAUCGCGAUGGCCGCCAUCUUAGGGGUCCUCGCUAGGUGGGACCCGAUUGUUCAAGAUGCAUUUUAAGGGAAGAUACGACUCUUUUCUCAUGUUUAUCUUUUAUUUAACAUAAACAAACGUAUAUACUUUUAUAAUAGCGUUCAAAGCUCUGUCCCAGACGCUCUCGAGUUACGUUGAGACUGAGGAUUCCCCAAUCUUCCACAAUGGACUUCACAUAGGAUGAACUGUUUCCAGUUUCAGCAAAACAGCAAGAAUUUAUGAAUGGAUGACUGCACCUUAGCACUCUUCACUGCCACUGCUUGCCUCACCUGGGCCACAGAGAAAACAAUGUUGCUGCCUGUACAUGGCACAUUUAACCUCUAACCUUACAGCUGAAUCAAUGCAGUAACACUGUUAACUACCAAUGAUAUUGUACCAAAUGUUCAGACUGAAUAUACAGAGGAGAACUGGUCCCCAGUGUUUUUGGUUAGUCUGGUUUCUCCAAAGGUUUUUUUUUACUCCAGUAUCGACAUCUUACAGUUUUUUCUUAAUUAACCACCGUUGCCUUUGGCUUGCUUGCUGUAUGUAUGACGACUAAUGCAUUUAACACCAACUAUUAAAACAGUGAGGGUGUUUUUGACCACAUAGACACAA
Long non-coding RNA from Carassius gibelio (silver crucian carp), 1181 nucleotides. RefSeq lists it as uncharacterized. The record is from RefSeq and is a predicted model, not a curated record. The transcript is spliced from 2 exons. Lineage: Eukaryota; Metazoa; Chordata; Actinopteri; Cypriniformes; Cyprinidae.